Molecule: small RNA, 578 nt
Filed under: Pan troglodytes (chimpanzee)
Lineage: Eukaryota; Metazoa; Chordata; Mammalia; Primates; Hominidae
Description: processed transcript
Source: RNAcentral
AAGGGGAGGAUGCCCCGGUGCAGGCCGUGCCUCACUGUCCACUGUGAUGGGGUGAUUGCCUUAGGGGUGGCUCUCAUCUGAGGAGCCUCCAGCUCCAUCUUGGCCAGAUCUUGCUCCCCAGAUCCAGAUCCAGGCCCCCAGAGCAGCUUCUUCCUCUCCCUCCAGCUCUGCAGCUUCCAAGUCCUGGAUGAGCUCGGAAGACACGUGCUGCUGCGGAAGGACUGUGGCCCAGUGGACACCAAGGUUCCAGGUGCUGGGAGAGCCCAAGGCUGCUGGGGAGCCCAAGUCAGCCUUCACUCAGGGCUCAGCCAUGAUUUCUUCUCUGUCCCAAAACCAUCCAGACAACAGAAACGAGACUUUCAGCUCAGUCAUUUCCCUGUUGAAUGAGGAUCCCCUGCCCCAGAUGGCUUCAAUCUUCAAGAACUUUGUCAUUACCUAUAACCGGACAUAUGAGUCAAAGGAAGAAGCCCGGUGGCGCCUGUCCGUCUUUGUCAAUAACAUGGUGCGAGCACAGAAGAUCCAGGCCCUGGACCGUGGCACAGCUCAGUAUGGAGUCACCAAGUUCAGUGAUCUCACAG